This 253-nucleotide ribosomal RNA is filed under the name uncultured bacterium. Its description in RNAcentral is "partial 16S ribosomal RNA". It matches the Rfam family "Bacterial small subunit ribosomal RNA", at positions 524 to 776 of the family's 1533-position model. The record is from RNAcentral.
UACGUAGGUGACCAGCGUUGUCCGGAUUUACUGGGCGUAAAGAGCGCGCAGGCGGUCGUUCAAGUCGAGUGUGAAAGCCCCCGGCUCAACUGGGGAGGGUCACUCGAUACUGAUCGACUUGAAGGCAGGAGAGGGAAGCGGAAUUCCCGGUGUAGUGUUGAAAUGCGUAGAUAUCGGGAGGAACACCAGUGGCGAAGGCGGCUUCCUGGCCUGUUCUUGACGCUGAGGCGCGAAAGCUAGGGGAGCAAACGGG